RNAcentral lists this ribosomal RNA (776 nucleotides) under uncultured Neocallimastigales. RNAcentral describes it as "partial large subunit ribosomal RNA". It matches the Rfam family "Eukaryotic large subunit ribosomal RNA", at positions 23 to 639 of the family's 3401-position model. The record is from RNAcentral. Lineage: Eukaryota; Fungi; Neocallimastigomycota; Neocallimastigomycetes; Neocallimastigales.
ACGCAUCUGUGCAUGCAGCAUAUCAAUAAGCGGAGGAAAAGAAACUAACAAGGAUUCCCUUAGUAACGGCGAGUGAAGCGGGAAGAGCUCAAAUUUGAAAUCUUCAAGGUUUUACCUUGACGAAUUGUAGUUUAAAGAAGUGUUUUCUGUUGAAGUUUUGGUAAAAGUUCUUUGGAAUAGGACAUCAUAGAGGGUGAGAAUCCCGUAUUUGACCAUUAUUUUCAGCUGUGUGAUACACUUUCAAAGAGUCGGAUUGUUUGGGAAUGCAGUCCAAAAUGGGUGGUAAAUUUCAUCUAAAGCUAAAUAUUGGCGAGAGACCGAUAGCGAACAAGUACCGUGAGGGAAAGGAUGAAAAGAACUUUGAAAAGAGAGUUAAACAGUACGUGAAAUUGUCAAAAGGGAAGCGUUUGACACCAGUGUUGUUUUCUCGAAAAUCAAUUAAAAAGAGUUAGAUUUUGUUGUGUAUUGACCUUAACAGCUUGCAUUUCAAUUUUCUUGCUUUUUUUAAUGCACUUUUCGUUUAACAAGUCAACAUCAGUUUCUUUUGUUGUAAAAAGGUCAUUGGAAGGUGGCUUUCUUUUCGGAGAAAGUGUUUAUAGCCUUUGACUCCUGCAAUCGGAGAGACUGAGGUCUGCAGCGUAGAUCCUUCGGGGUUAGAUACAUUUGUGCUAAGUUAUAGCUUUUUAUAGACAACUUGUUGACUAUGAUUAGUCUUGUAGCUUACUCGCUUAUGCUAUUUUACCUACGCUUAGGAUGUUGACGCGCGUGUGUGCGUG